This 253-nucleotide ribosomal RNA is filed under the name uncultured bacterium. RNAcentral describes it as "partial 16S ribosomal RNA". It matches the Rfam family "Bacterial small subunit ribosomal RNA", at positions 524 to 776 of the family's 1533-position model. The record is from RNAcentral.
UACAGAGGUCCCAAGCGUUGUUCGGAUUCACUGGGCGUAAAGGGUGCGUAGGCGGUCGGGUAAGUCUGAUGUGAAAUCUCGAAGCCUAACUUCGAAACUGCAUUGGAUACUAUUCGGCUAGAGGAAUGGAGGGGAGACUGGAAUGCUCGGUGUGGCAGUGAAAUGCGUAGAUAUCGAGCGGAACACCAGUGGCGAAGGCGAGUCUCUGGACAUUUCCUGACGCUGAGGCACGAAAGCCAGGGGAGCAAACGGG